GACGAACGCUGGCGGCGUGCUUAACACAUGCAAGUCGAACGGAAAGGCCCUGCUUUUGUGGGGUGCUCGAGUGGCGAACGGGUGAGUAACACGUGAGUAACCUGCCCUUGACUUUGGGAUAACUUCAGGAAACUGGGGCUAAUACCGAAUGGAAGCUCCUGCUGCAUGUUGGGGGUGGGAAAUUUUCGGCGGUUGGGGAUGGACUCGCGGCUUAUCAGCUUGUUGGUGGGGUAGUGGCUUACCAAGGCUUUGACGGGUAGCCGGCCUGAGAGGGUGACCGGCCACAUUGGGACUGAGAUACGGCCCAGACUCCUACGGGAGGCAGCAGUGGGGAAUAUUGCACAAUGGGCGGAAGCCUGAUGCAGCAACGCCGCGUGCGGGAUGACGGCCUUCGGGUUGUAAACCGCUUUCGCCUGUGACGAAGCGUGAGUGACGGUAAUGGGUAAAGAAGCACCGGCUAACUACGUG
Molecule: ribosomal RNA, 468 nt
Filed under: uncultured bacterium
Lineage: Bacteria
Description: partial 16S ribosomal RNA
Rfam family: Bacterial small subunit ribosomal RNA
Source: RNAcentral